UAGAAUUAGGUUGGAAUCACAUCAUU
This 26-nucleotide non-coding RNA is filed under the name Rattus norvegicus (Norway rat). Lineage: Eukaryota; Metazoa; Chordata; Mammalia; Rodentia; Muridae. The record is from RNAcentral.